GAGAAUGGAGGUUUUAAGCUUGGCACUAAAAUCCGAAAAGUCGGAUUUUUGGUCAGUUCUCGGAUAGUCAUCAGCUGGCCGUGUACCGGUACGGGAUUGCUUGCUGUACCGGUACGGGGUUGAUGGCUGUACCGGUACGGGCUCGUGUACCGGUACACAGAGCACUUCCCAGCGAACCCGAGGCUCGGGUUUGGCAUUUUCGUGGGUUGUGUACCGGUACGCGGGCCCGUGUACCGGUACGCAGUGCAGUUUCUGAGCAGUUCGAACUGCAGGGGUGUUUUUGCGAUUGUGCCUAUUCUAUAUAGCACCCACGCCCCUUG
Molecule: long non-coding RNA, 320 nt
Filed under: Ananas comosus (pineapple)
Lineage: Eukaryota; Viridiplantae; Streptophyta; Magnoliopsida; Poales; Bromeliaceae
Description: long non-coding RNA (ACOM_LNC016713)
Source: RNAcentral